This 406-nucleotide ribosomal RNA is filed under the name uncultured bacterium. Its description in RNAcentral is "partial 16S ribosomal RNA". It matches the Rfam family "Bacterial small subunit ribosomal RNA", at positions 29 to 526 of the family's 1533-position model. The record is from RNAcentral.
AUUGAACGCUGGCGGCAGGCCUAACACAUGCAAGUCGAACGAGUGGCGGACGGGUGAGUAAUGUCUGGGAAACUGCCUGAUGGAGGGGGAUAACUACUGGAAACGGUAGCUAAUACCGCAUACCCUCGGAUGUGCCCAGAUGGGAUUAGCUAGUAGGUGGGGUAAAGGCUCACCUAGGCGACGAUCCCUAGCUGGUCUGAGAGGAUGACAGGCCACACGGGAACGGAGAAACGCUCCAGACUCCUCCGGGAGGCAGCAGUGGGAAAUAUGGCACAAUGUGCGCAAGCCGGAUGCAGCAAUGCCGCGUGAAGGAAGAAGCCAUUCGGGUUGAAAAGUCCUUUCAGCGGGGAGACGUUACCCGCAUAAGAAGCACCGGCUAACUCCGGGCCAGCAGCCGCGGUAAUUC